CACGUAGGCACCAAGCGUUGUCCGGAUUUAUCGGGCGUAAAGAGCUCGUAGGCGGUUCGGUAAGUCGGGUGUGAAAACUUUGGGCUCAACCCAAAGCCUGCACCCGAUACUGCUGUGACUCGAGUCCGGUAGGGGAGUGGGGAAUUCCUGGUGUAGCAGUGGAAUGCGCAGAUAUCAGGAGGAACACCGGUGGCGAAGGCGCCACUCUGGGCCGGUACUGACGCUGAGGAGCGAAAGCGUGGGGAGCGAACAGG
Molecule: ribosomal RNA, 254 nt
Filed under: uncultured bacterium
Lineage: Bacteria
Description: partial 16S ribosomal RNA
Rfam family: Bacterial small subunit ribosomal RNA
Source: RNAcentral